UUGUACAGCAGUGAAGGCCCAUGCUCAACCCCACUUGAUUUCUGGUUGCUGGCUGCAGGGUUCUGUAAGGCUGAAGGCUGCUGUUAUCAUCACAAAAGGAUCAGGAGCUCCAAGGGCACUGCUUAAACCACCAGCUACAGACAGAGCUAAUUACAGCUGUUGUGCUCUGUCGUGGUUUAACCCCAACCAGCAGCCAAGCCCCACACAACUGCUUGCUCACUCCCACACCAGCAGGAUCAGGGAAAGAAUCAGAAAGGAUUUUCUUAUGCUGCUUUGGUUUCAUCUGAGUGGAUCUUUAAAUUCCAAGCCAGUCCCAUCUCAUUAACAUGUGUGAAGUCAUAACUUCAACUUUCAACUUCAGAGGUGCAGAAACAGAAAAUCUUUCUGCAUGAAAGAUUUGAUAUCUGAUAUCUCUCUUCUUCCUAUCCAUGGAGGAGUUUUUCACAAGUUGUGGUGAUAACAUCUCUCAGUUAAGAUAUCCAACCUGGAGCAGGAAUGGAAUUAAUAUUAAAUACUCAUUGCAGAAAUAACAUCUCCAUAUCUCCUUCAGAAAAAGAAAGAUAAAGAUAGAUACAAGAUACAAGAUACAAGAUACAAGAUACAAG
Long non-coding RNA from Passer domesticus (house sparrow), 605 nucleotides. RefSeq lists it as uncharacterized. NCBI's taxonomy places the organism in Eukaryota, Metazoa, Chordata, Aves, Passeriformes, Passeridae. The record is from RefSeq and is a predicted model, not a curated record. The transcript has 3 exons.